RNAcentral lists this ribosomal RNA (516 nucleotides) under uncultured bacterium. RNAcentral describes it as "bacterial SSU rRNA". It matches the Rfam family "Bacterial small subunit ribosomal RNA", at positions 11 to 518 of the family's 1533-position model. The record is from RNAcentral.
GUUGAUCCUGGCUCAGGAUGAACGCUAGCUACAGGCUUAACACAUGCAAGUCGAGGGGCAUCAUGGAGUUGCUUGCAAACUCUGAUGGCGACCGGCGCACGGGUGAGUAACGCGUAUCCAACCUUCCCUAUAGUAGAGGAUAGCCCGGCGAAAGUCGGAUUAAUACUCUAUGUUUUCCGUUGCAGACAUCUAAGAUGGAACAAAGGCUUGCCGCUAUAGGAUGGGGAUGCGUCUGAUUAGGUAGUCGGCGGGGUAACGGCCCACCGAGCCAUCGAUCAGUAGGGGUUCUGAGAGGAAGGUCCCCCACAUUGGAACUGAGACACGGUCCAAACUCCUACGGGAGGCAGCAGUGAGGAAUAUUGGUCAAUGGGCGAGAGCCUGAACCAGCCAAGUAGCGUGCAGGACGACGGCCCUAUGGGUUGUAAACUGCUUUUAUGCGGGGAUAAAGUUCACUACGUGUAGUGUUUUGUAGGUACCGCAUGAAUAAGGACCGGCUAAUUCCGUGCCAGCCGCUGC